Molecule: ribosomal RNA, 413 nt
Filed under: Cutibacterium acnes
Lineage: Bacteria; Bacillati; Actinomycetota; Actinomycetes; Propionibacteriales; Propionibacteriaceae
Description: bacterial SSU rRNA
Rfam family: Bacterial small subunit ribosomal RNA
Source: RNAcentral
GACGAACGCUGGCGGCGUGCUUAACACAUGCAAGUCGAACGGAAAGGCCCUGCUUUUGUGGGGUGCUCGAGUGGCGAACGGGUGAGUAACACGUGAGUAACCUGCCCUGACUUUGGGAUAACUUCAGGAAACUGGGGUAAUACCGGAUAGGAGCUCCUGCUGCAUGGUGGGGGUUGGAAAGUUUCGGCGGUUGGGGAUGGACUCGCGGCUUAUCAGCUUGUUGGUGGGGUAGUGGCUUACCAAGGCUUUGACGGGUAGCCGGCCUGAGAGGGUGACCGGCCACAUUGGGACUGAGAUACGGCCCAGACUCCUACGGGAGGCAGCUUGGGGAAUAUUGCACAAUGGGCGGAAGCCUGAUGCAGCAACGCCGCGUGCGGGAUGACGGCCUUCGGGUUGUAAACCGCUUUCGCCUG